UACAGAGGGUGCGAGCGUUGUUCGGAAUUAUUGGGCGUAAAGGGCGCGUAGGCGGUGCCACAAGUCACUUGUGAAAUCCCCGGGCUUAACUCGGGGCCUGCAGGCGAAACUGUGGUGCUGGAGUGUGGGAGAGGUGCGUGGAAUUCCCGGUGUAGCGGUGAAAUGCGUAGAGAUCCGGAGGAACCCCAGAGGCGAAGGCGGCCCCCUGGCUCGUACCUGACGCUCAGCCACGAAAGCAUGGGGAGCGAACGGG
RNAcentral lists this ribosomal RNA (253 nucleotides) under uncultured prokaryote. Its description in RNAcentral is "partial 16S ribosomal RNA". It matches the Rfam family "Bacterial small subunit ribosomal RNA", at positions 524 to 776 of the family's 1533-position model. The record is from RNAcentral.